This 76-nucleotide small RNA is filed under the name Arabidopsis thaliana (thale cress). RNAcentral's name for it is "ATSL188230". The record is from RNAcentral. Lineage: Eukaryota; Viridiplantae; Streptophyta; Magnoliopsida; Brassicales; Brassicaceae.
GCUAGGUUUCAAUGUGGAGACUGUGGAAUACAAGAACAUUAGCUUUACCGUGUGGGAUGUCGGGGGUCAAGACAAG